UCCAUCGUUCAUGCCUCCCAUUAAACACAUCGUCCCAAAAAAGAAAAACACUUCAAAAAUUCGAUUUGGUUAAAGAACAAUAAAGGCUUCCAUUGUUUGACCACACCGUGAUUGCUGCACUCGACGGGAUCAUAGAAAUUGCCGUAUCUACAACCGAAAAUCUGCAUCUCAAAAGAGAUAUUUCACACUCUGAAUUAGUAUAUUUACUGUAAUAUCUCAGAUUUGGGAUAUGUUUUUCACCUAGUUUAUAUGCCAUUCAUACAUUUGGGAAUUUUUUUUAGGGAUUUGUUUAUGUACACAAACUAUCGUUGAAUCGAUAGAAGAAAGCAAAAGAAAAAAAAAAAGAAAAGAUUACCUCUAUUUAUUCUAAACAUUAUGCAAGUCUGGUGAUAGAUUUUAGAGUUUGAGUGUCAGACAUUGUUCUUGUGAUAUAUCUCCAUGUCUAAGUACUACACAACUCAUGAAAUCUAUAAAAUUCGAAUACAUGGUUUGAAAUCCCUGAUACUAGAAUGUGUUGACACAUGUUUUAAAUUCUGACAUGUUGCAAAUUUACCAAGGAAAUUCUCGUGCAUAUUGACAAAUACCAU
This 587-nucleotide long non-coding RNA is filed under the name Olea europaea subsp. europaea. The record is from RNAcentral. Lineage: Eukaryota; Viridiplantae; Streptophyta; Magnoliopsida; Lamiales; Oleaceae.